This 709-nucleotide ribosomal RNA is filed under the name uncultured bacterium. RNAcentral describes it as "bacterial SSU rRNA". It matches the Rfam family "Bacterial small subunit ribosomal RNA", at positions 48 to 747 of the family's 1533-position model. The record is from RNAcentral.
UUAACACAUGCUAGUCGAGGGGCAGCGGGGGCGUAGCAAUAUGCCUGCCGGCGACCGGCGCACGGGUGAGUAACACGUAUGUAACCUGCCCUAUGCAGGGGGAUAACCCGGAGAAAUCCGGCCUAAUACCGCGUAACACCUUUGGGGAGCAUUCCCUUGGGGUUAAAGGAGAGAUCCGGCAUAGGAUGGACAUGCGUCGCAUUAGGUAGACGGCGGGGUAACGGCCCACCGUGCCGACGAUGCGUAGGGGUUCUGAGAGGAAGGCCCCCCACACUGGUACUGAGACACGGACCAGACUCCUACGGGAGGCAGCAGUGAGGAAUAUUGGUCAAUGGCCGAGAGGCUGAACCAGCCAAGUCGCGUGAGGGAAGAAUGUCCUAAGGAUUGUAAACCUCUUUUGUCGGGGAGCAAAAAGGCUCUGCGGAGUCGUAUUGAGAGUACCCGAAGAAAAAGCAUCGGCUAACUCCGUGCCAGCAGCCGCGGUAAUACGGAGGAUGCGAGCGUUAUCCGGAUUUAUUGGGUUUAAAGGGUGCGCAGGCGGCGUGCCAAGCAAGCGGUAAAAUAGCGGGGCUCAACCCCGUCGAGCCGUUUGAACUGGCGCGCUUGAGUUCAGGCGAGGUAGGCGGAAUUCGUGGUGUAGCGGUGAAAUGCAUAGAUAUCACGAGGAACUCCGAUUGCGAAGGCAGCUUACCAGUCUGCGACUGACGCU